This 599-nucleotide long non-coding RNA is filed under the name Ananas comosus (pineapple). RNAcentral's name for it is "long non-coding RNA (ACOM_LNC008126)". The record is from RNAcentral. Lineage: Eukaryota; Viridiplantae; Streptophyta; Magnoliopsida; Poales; Bromeliaceae.
UAUAUUUUAAAUUCUAAAUUUCAAUUUUAACUUAUAAUAUUUAUUUCCAAUUUUGUAACUUCAAAAUUUAAAAUUUUAAAUCUCUAAACUCUAUGAUUUAAUUAAUUUAAUUUUAUUAAUAAUACGCGUAAUAAAUUGCACAAUAAAAUCUAACAUGAUAGAUUUAAUUUAAAUCACGUAAAAUAUUGUUGUAUAAAAAAUUACAUAAUUUUAAAUUUCAAGUGAAAAAUUUUAAAAAUAUAGUGUAUAUGUGUAUAUAUAUAUAUAUAUAAUUAAUUUUAUUAAGCAAUUUCUUCUACAAAUUUAUUUCCCUUCUAUCUAUUAAUUUUUUAAAAAUUAUUUUGAUAGAUUUAUCUCUUUAUAAAAUAAAGUGAUGUAUAAAUUACUUGCACAUAUACCAAUUUUAAUAAUUUUUAUUUAAAUAGAUUUAACUAUUACAUCAAUUAAUAAUUAGACUUACAAAACUAUAUAAAAAUAUUAAAAAAAUAAAAUUUAUUAUCAAAAUAUUUUUAGAUCCGCAGCAUCGCGCGGGUAUUUCACUAGUUAUACUUUAAACUAGAGAAAGUAACAAAUCAUCUUAAAUUUUAAUAAAACCAUUU